GAUUAACGCUGGCGGCGUGCAUAACACAUGCAAGUCGAACGAUGAAACUUAACUGAUUUCUUCGGAAUGAUUUUAAGUGGAUUAGUGGCGGACGGGUGAGUAACGCGUGAGUAACCUGCCUUGGAGAAGGGGAUAGCCUUUGGAAACGAAGAAUAAUACCCUAUGAUAUGAUAAUAUCUCAUGAUAUUAUCAUCAAAGAUUUAUCGCUCUAAGAUGGACUUGCGUCUGAUUAGUUAGUUGGUGAGGUAACAGCUCACCAAGGCAGCGAGCAGUAGCCGGCUUGAGAGAGUGUACGGCCACAUUGGGACUGAGACACGGCCCAGACUCCUACGGGAGGCAGCAGUGGGGAAUUUUGCACAAUGGGGGAAACCCUGAUGCAGCGACGCCGCGUGAUUUAGAAGGCCUUCGGGUUGUAAAAAUCUUUUGUAUGGGAAGAAAAUGACAGUACCAUACGAAUAAGGACCGGCUAAUUACGUG
RNAcentral lists this ribosomal RNA (477 nucleotides) under uncultured bacterium. RNAcentral's name for it is "partial 16S ribosomal RNA". It matches the Rfam family "Bacterial small subunit ribosomal RNA", at positions 28 to 507 of the family's 1533-position model. The record is from RNAcentral.